This 447-nucleotide ribosomal RNA is filed under the name uncultured bacterium. RNAcentral's name for it is "bacterial SSU rRNA". It matches the Rfam family "Bacterial small subunit ribosomal RNA", at positions 331 to 794 of the family's 1533-position model. The record is from RNAcentral.
CCAGACUCCUACGGGAGGCAGCAGUGGGGAAUAUUGCACAAUGGGGGGAACCCUGAUGCAGCGACGCCGCGUGGGUGAAGAAGUAUUUCGGUAUGUAAAGCCCUAUCAGCAGGGAAGAAAAAUGACGGUACCUGACUAAGAAGCACCGGCUAAAUACGUGCCAGCAGCCGCGGUAAUACGUAUGGUGCAAGCGUUAUCCGGAUUUACUGGGUGUAAAGGGAGCGUAGACGGCGACGCAAGUCUGAAGUGAAAUGCCAGUGCUCAACACUGGAACUGCUUUGGAAACUGUGUAGCUAGAGUGCAGGAGAGGUAAGUGGAAUUCCUAGUGUAGCGGUGAAAUGCGUAGAUAUUAGGAGGAACACCAGUGGCGAAGGCGGCUUACUGGACUGUAACUGACGUUGAGGCUCGAAGGCGUGGGGAGCAAACAGGAUUAGAUACCCCGGUACA